UACGUAGAGACCGAGCGUUGUCCGGAAUCAUUGGGCGUAAAGAGCGUGUAGGCGGCCACUUAAGUCCUGCGUGAAAUCCUGCGGCUCAACCGCGGGCCUGCAGCCGAUACGGGCAGGCUAGAGUUCGGUAGGGGAGACUGGAAUUCCUGGUGUAGCGGUGAAAUGCGCAGAUAUCAGGAGGAACACCGAUGGCGAAGGCAGGUCUCUGGGCCGAUACUGACGCUGAGGAGCGAAAGCGUGGGGAGCGAACAGG
Molecule: ribosomal RNA, 253 nt
Filed under: uncultured bacterium
Lineage: Bacteria
Description: partial 16S ribosomal RNA
Rfam family: Bacterial small subunit ribosomal RNA
Source: RNAcentral